CUCGCACCCAAGUCUAAGAACCACAGUUUCUCGAGACAGCGGUUUAAACAGCAUUGCGAAGAGCUGGUGAAUCUCGUUGCGUUUGGGGGCUUGUGCCGCACCCCUCAAAGUGAAUGUGGAGGUUUUACAUCC
Molecule: small nucleolar RNA, 132 nt
Filed under: Dasypus novemcinctus (nine-banded armadillo)
Lineage: Eukaryota; Metazoa; Chordata; Mammalia; Cingulata; Dasypodidae
Description: Small nucleolar RNA SNORA68 (ENSDNOG00000047734.1)
Rfam family: Small nucleolar RNA SNORA68
About the family: U68 is a member of the H/ACA class of small nucleolar RNAs (snoRNAs) which act as guides in the the modification of uridines to pseudouridines.
Source: RNAcentral